RNAcentral lists this ribosomal RNA (446 nucleotides) under uncultured bacterium. RNAcentral's name for it is "partial 16S ribosomal RNA". It matches the Rfam family "Bacterial small subunit ribosomal RNA", at positions 338 to 795 of the family's 1533-position model. The record is from RNAcentral.
CCUACGGGAGACAGCAGUAGGGAAUUUUCGGCAAUGGGGGGAACCCUGACCGAGCAACGCCGCGUGAACGAAGAAGUUAUUCGUAAUGUAAAGUUCUUUUAACAGGGAAGAAAGAGAAAUUUGACGGUACCUGAAGAAUAAGCUCCGGCAAACUACGUGCCAGCAGCCGCGGUAAUACGUAGGGAGCGAGCGUUAUCCGGAAUUAUUGGGCGAAAAGGGUGCGUAGAUGGCAUAGUAAGUCUUUUGUAAAAAUGCUGGGCUAAACCCAGUAGGGCAAAAGAUACUGCAAAGCUAGAGUAUGACAGAGGCAAGUGGAACUACAUGUGUAGCGGUAAAAUGCGUAAAUAUAUGUAAGAACACCAGUGGCGAAGGCGGCUUGCUGGGUCGAUACUGACAUUGAGGCACGAAAGCGUGGGGAGCAAACAGGAUUAGAUACCCCGGUAGUC